CCACUACUUUUUUUUUUUUUUAGGCAUAAUACCUUUUGACAGUGUCAGCAUUCACGGUUCUUGGAAAUUCUUCACCAUCCAUAUAAGUCAAGAUCAAGGCCCCACCAAAAAAUGCCUUUUUAACCACGUAGGGUUCCUCAUAAGUUGGCGAUCAUUUACCCCGGGUGUCGUUUUUGAUUUGGAAGCAACUUUUUCAGGACCAGAUCUCCUGGUUGGAAUUCGCGCGGGCAAACGCCUUUGUUAAAUGCCCUAGCCAUUCUUCUCUGGUAUAAUUGCCCAUGACAUGCUGCUGUUAAUCUUUUCUC
RNAcentral lists this unclassified non-coding RNA (305 nucleotides) under Hevea brasiliensis (rubber tree). Lineage: Eukaryota; Viridiplantae; Streptophyta; Magnoliopsida; Malpighiales; Euphorbiaceae. The record is from RNAcentral.